CAUGCAGUCGAACGAGCGAGAGAGAGCUUGCUUUCUCGAGCGAGUGGCGAACGGGUGAGUAACGCGUGAGGAAUCUGCCUCAAAGAGGGGGACAACAGUUGGAAACGACUGCUAAUACCGCAUAAGCCCACGGUGCCGCAUGGCACAGAGGGAAAAGGAGUAAUCCGCUUUGAGAUGGCCUCGCGUCCGAUUAGCUAGUUGGUGAGGUAACGGCCCACCAAGGCGACGAUCGGUAGCCGGACUGAGAGGUUGAACGGCCACAUUGGGACUGAGACACGGCCCAGACUCCUACGGGAGGCAGCAGUGGGGAAUAUUGCACAAUGGGGGAAACCCUGAUGCAGCGACGCCGCGUGGAGGAAGAAGGUCUUCGGAUUGUAAACUCCUGUUGUUGGGGAAGAUAAUGACGGUACCCAACAAGGAAGUGACGGCUAACUACGUGCCAGCAGCCGCGGUAAAACGUAGGUCACAAGCGUUGUCCGGAAUUACUGGGUGUAAAGGGAGCGCAGGCGGGAAGACAAGUUGGAAGUGAAAUCUAUGGGCUCAACCCAUAAACUGCUUUCAAAACUGUUUUUCUUGAGUAGUGCAGAGGUAGGCGGAAUUCCCGGUGUAGCGGUGGAAAUGCGUAGAUAUCGGGAGGAACACCAGUGGCGAAGGCGGCCUACUGGGCACCAACUGACGCUGA
RNAcentral lists this ribosomal RNA (682 nucleotides) under uncultured bacterium. RNAcentral's name for it is "bacterial SSU rRNA". It matches the Rfam family "Bacterial small subunit ribosomal RNA", at positions 54 to 749 of the family's 1533-position model. The record is from RNAcentral.